This 592-nucleotide ribosomal RNA is filed under the name uncultured Lachnum. RNAcentral describes it as "eukaryotic LSU rRNA". The stretch from base 232 to 385 matches the Rfam family "5.8S ribosomal RNA". Lineage: Eukaryota; Fungi; Ascomycota; Leotiomycetes; Helotiales; Hyaloscyphaceae. The record is from RNAcentral.
CUUGGUCAUUUAGAGGAAGUAAAAGUCGUAACAAGGUCUCCGUAGGUGAACCUGCGGAGGGAUCAUUACAGAGUUCGUGCCCUCACGGGUAGAUCUCCCACCCUGUGUUAUUAUACCUUUGUUGCUUUGGCGGGCCGCAAGCCUGGCUUGCCUGGAUUCGCGUCCGGCGUGCCCGCCAGAGGAUCCAAAACUCUGAAUGUUAGUGUCGUCUGAGUACUAUUAAAUAGUUAAAACUUUCAACAACGGAUCUCUUGGUUCUGGCAUCGAUGAAGAACGCAGCGAAAUGCGAUAAGUAAUGUGAAUUGCAGAAUUCAGUGAAUCAUCGAAUCUUUGAACGCACAUUGCGCCCCUUGGUAUUCCGGGGGGCAUGCCUGUUCGAGCGUCAUUAAUACCAAUCUAGCCCGGCUAGGUGUUGGGCUUCGCCGUCUGGCGGGCCUUAAAAACAGUGGCGGUGCUCUUCAGCUCUACGCGUAGUAAUUUUUCUCGCUAUAGGGUCUGUGGAGAUGCUUGCCAGCAACCCCAAAUUUUUUCAGGUUGACCUCGGAUCAGGUAGGGAUACCCGCUGAACUUAAGCAUAUCAAUAAGCGGAGGA